UUUACACUGAUCUGUGUUUGUGUUUGAUGGAUUUCGAGUCUGGCUAUAAACUGUGACUGGACCACUGAGUAUGACAUGCUGUCCUUUGGGUGAGUAUCCCAAAGUACCAUGUCCAGAGAAUAACACUGAAAGAGUGUGAGAAAUGUUCAACAGCUGUUUCGGCUAAGGACAAACAUUUCUGCAAAGAUAAUCACUUAUAUUUUGAUGACAAAUGUGUUAAUUGUAAGACCAGGGAAAGAUAUCCAUCUCCAGAGAACACUUGGCCUACAAUGAUGCUUAGGACAGCACUUGUAAAUCCAUUACAAAGUGUGUUGGUGGUGAAAUCUUCCCUGGAAACCAGACCCACAAUGCAAGAUGUGUCUCUUCUGGUUGGCACAUUUUACUACUGUCAUAUACAACACUGUCAUUAUGGGGUUCAUAUGCUUGUUGACCACGAAUUUCCAUUCAUAUCCCAUGUUUGUAACUAAAGAAUUUAACCCUAUCAUUUAAAUAUACCCUAACAACAAUAAUCAUGUUUAUUAUACUAUCUGUUCCUUAUACUAUCUGUAUAAUGUUUUUAAUUUAAUGGAUAAAAAAAUAAAAAAGAU
This is a long non-coding RNA of Carassius auratus (goldfish), 587 nucleotides long. RefSeq lists it as uncharacterized. The transcript is spliced from 3 exons. Lineage: Eukaryota; Metazoa; Chordata; Actinopteri; Cypriniformes; Cyprinidae. The record is from RefSeq and is a predicted model, not a curated record.